AAAAAAUUUGACCUACUGGGGGUGCCCCGCUGGGCGUCCGUAGCACCACUGUAUAUAUUAUGGGACAAUUUAAAAAUUUAGUAAAAAGUCAAUAAGUUUUUCGAAAAAAAUCACUGAAAAAAUCAAUUUUUUAAGCUAAAAAAAAAUUAAAAAUAUCAAAAAAAAAAUUAAAAAAUUAACUUUUUACGCACUUCUUAAAACACUCUAGUAGACAGAGCCAAAAUAAACCGUCUCUCUCUCCUCCCCCUCUCUCUCCAUCUCCGAUUCAACCACAACCGUGCUGCCGUCGACGUCUCCUUCUCCGCUAUUCGACUCCAUCACGGUGACUCCAAUCAUCUUUUUCCUCCCUCUCUUUCUCUCUCUCUAUCUCUCUCUCUCCUCGUUGGGAGAGUGGUCACCUGAGCUUCAUGGUUGCUUGAGCUCCAUGGCUGCCUGAGCUUUCCCCCUCGACCUCUGUCUUCCGAUGUCUUCUUCGGCGCCUCUGUGUAUCUCAGAUCAGCGCUGUCAUCUAUCUUAGAUCUGUCGGAUCUCCGAUGAUCUCGAUCGGGUUUUCAGAAAACAUGGAUGCAACCGGCGUUGAUGUCAGAUUCCGGCGAACUCUUUAGGGUUUCGGCUGUCGGAAUAUAAGUUUGAAACUGGAGAUUGCAGCGCCGGCGGAGAGAGAACAUGAAGGAGGAGAAGAGAUCGGACGGCAGAGAAAAAUGAGGUUGAAGAGAACGUUUGCAAGUUUGCAAAGAAAAGCAUGAAACCAUAGAUCUGUGUCACAGGUCGCAGUCAUUCUCUAUUUUUUUAGUUAUUAUUAUUGUUGUUGUGGUAGAUUGGAUCUACGAAGAACCUCCCUCUACUUUUUUUAGUUGUUAGAUUAUUAUUGUUAUUGUGGUGGUAUAUCUGGAUCUGUGGAGAUUUCAAAUCAGAUCUUUUUUUUUAAUUUUUUUUAGUUGUUGUUAUUGUUAUUGUUGAAGAUUGUUAGUAUAUAGUUGUUAUAAUAACUGUUAUAGCAUUAUAUCUUUAGCAUUAUAUUAUAGCCUUAUCUUUUAUAUUUCUUAAUGUAGUAUACAACUUUUCCUUUA
Molecule: non-coding RNA, 1070 nt
Organism: Camellia sinensis
Lineage: Eukaryota; Viridiplantae; Streptophyta; Magnoliopsida; Ericales; Theaceae
Source: RefSeq, a predicted model, not a curated record